UUUUUUUUUUUUUUUUUUGCAGAUUUUCUGCUGGGAUUUCCUUUCAUUUUCGGCGGUUCCAAACCAGGAGAAGCAUCGAAGAAGAGGGAUCCUCUCUUCUCAUCUGUGCUUUUGCAGCCAAGCCGGUGGGGAUAAAAAAUCAUGUCGCGGGAGAGAGCUAAGCGGUCGACCCUACCUCCUGCUAAAGAGAAUAUUGCCAAGCUUGAGAAAGUAGUAAAAGAAGGCAAUUACUAUGGAGCGCAACAGAUGUACAAGUCAUUUAGUGCUAGGUAUGUGACCGCUGAAAGAUAUUCUGAAGCUCUAGAUAUUCUUGAUUCUGGUGCUUGUCUACAAUUGGAAACGGGACAGGUUACUUGCGGGGCUGAGCUUGCCAUGCUAUUCGUGGACACACUUGUCAAAGGAAAAUAUGCUUAUGAUGACGAUACUCUCGAUCGUGUCAGAAAAAUCUACAAGAAGUUCCCUCGGAUAUCUGUGCCGCAACAUCUUGACCUGACAGAUGAUGAUGACAUGCAGCAACUCUCUGAAGCCUUUGCUGCUGCAAAAGUUAGAGUCGAGGGCUGCUCAUCAUUUUUAAGAGCUGCUAUUAAGUGGUCUGUGGAAUUUGGAGCAUGUAGGAAUGGAUCCCCAGAAAUUCACGAUAUGCUAGCUGAAUAUAUAUAUUCUGAAUCUCCUGAAGUGGACAUGACCAAAGUGUCUUUUCAUUUUGUUCGAGGGAAGAACCCUAAAAAGUUUGCUUCAACACUGGUGAAUUUCAUGGGCAAGUGUUACCCAGGUGAAGAUGAUUUGGCCAUUGCAAGGGCAAUUUUGAUGUACUUAUCUCUAGGUAACCUGAGAGAUGCUAAUGGUCUCAUGGAUGAGGUGAAGAAGCAAAUGCAGUCUAAGGAGCUUGACUUUCCACAAUCAGAACUAAUCCAGUUUAUCAAUUAUCUUCUGUUGACGUUGCAGAGAGACGCUUUGCCUUUGUUUAACAUGUUAAGACAGAAUUACAAGUCUAGCAUAGAAAGGGAACCUGUAUUCCAUGAGUUGCUAGAUGAAAUAGCUGAGAAGUUCUAUGGAGUACGACGUAGGAAUCCCUUGCAAGGGAUGUUUGGAGAUAUUUUUAAGUUUGAAACAUGUCCAUACAUGGUGACACCUCCUGCAAUGGUGCCAGUCUAGUGUCCCUUUUGUUGUUUUGAGAAUCCCAGUGAGGGUCUUUCAUUUUCAAGAUGAUGGGAGGUGAAUAGCAUCUUAUCAGCCGUUGAAGCGACUCUAAAGCCAAAGAGAAGGUACAUGGCGCUAACGCUAAGUGUCUGCUAUCCGUGAAAAUGAUUGCUGUUGGAUUAUAUUGUUAAGCCGACUGUUGUAAUAUAUAUAGUUCCUUUUUUCUUUUGCCAUAUGAAUUGCAUUUUGUUCAUUCUGGAGGCAGUCACCUUUCCUGUCCAAAUGGUUUAAUUGAAUGCUAAGCCGAAUUUUUCAAUCGAGGAUUACUCAUUUCAGUGAUUAAUCUGGGGAAUACACU
RNA transcript from Coffea arabica (coffee), 1498 nucleotides. It is a transcript of the gene named protein GET4, with no coding region annotated. NCBI's taxonomy places the organism in Eukaryota, Viridiplantae, Streptophyta, Magnoliopsida, Gentianales, Rubiaceae. The record is from RefSeq and is a predicted model, not a curated record.